UCGCGCACUGCGGGAGAGCGGGGCCGCAAACCCCCGCCGAAGGCGCAAACUCCCAUCAUCGCUCAGGCAAAAGGACCGCAGUCGCACG
This 88-nucleotide non-coding RNA is filed under the name Caldimonas brevitalea. Its description in RNAcentral is "Polyangium brachysporum Glycine sequence". It matches the Rfam family "Glycine riboswitch aptamer". Rfam says of the family: This family represents the bacterial glycine riboswitch. The record is from Rfam by way of RNAcentral. Lineage: Bacteria; Pseudomonadati; Pseudomonadota; Betaproteobacteria; Burkholderiales; Sphaerotilaceae.